CAACAACGUGUCAUUUAUUCUGUCCCUGCUGUGAGCCACUUACCCACCAGCAGACCUAAGUUCUAGGUCUUCAGGAGCAGCCACAUCCUACCUAGUUCCUAGGCAAAUCAUGAUGUGCAACAGGAAGGAUGAAGAAUUCGAGCCUAAAGAAGCCCAGGGGUGUAUCCAGGUCCACAUGGCUCAUGAGGGUUGAGUCUGAACCAGAAUUCAGUCUCCUGAUCUCCGUUCAUAGUCCUUUCUGCCACAUCAAGAGUCUCCCUCUUACAAAUGUGUCAGAUAUUAAGGAAUUCUAGCGAAAUAACCAAAGCAUGAAAACAAUCUUGUGUGAUAAUCUACCAUGAAAUUUCAAUGGAAUUACUGAAAAUAAAAAAUAAAGAUGUCAAUGUAGCACCACAGCAUGAAGCAGCACAUGUAUGCAUUAGUUAAAAAAAAAAAAGACAGAGAGAGAGAUGCAUUCAUUCAAUUGAGUUACUGCCACUCUACAACUGAAUGAAACAGAAACAGAGUGAAAGAUGAAUGCCCCCAACAAUCCACCACAUUAAGCAAAAUGGAAUGAGAAGCACUUUAAUUGGAUAAAAUUUAAGAGCUGAAUUACAAAUGCCAC
Hippopotamus amphibius kiboko is the source of this 604-nucleotide long non-coding RNA. RefSeq lists it as uncharacterized. The record is from RefSeq and is a predicted model, not a curated record. Lineage: Eukaryota; Metazoa; Chordata; Mammalia; Artiodactyla; Hippopotamidae. The transcript is spliced from 3 exons.